AUGACUCCAAGUCAUUAAUCAGAGUCGAACCUCUGCAUGGCAUUCAUGUAGGUGAUCAGAUCCUUGUUGUUCUCAUCGAGUUCAACAGCAAUCAUGUCCCGAAACUAGAAAUCAAAGUAUUUAUCUGACAGAUACGGUACCAUAUUGGAUCUCCUUAAUAGUGCUUUUACAAUAGAUUUUAGAUUUGAUCUAAUCAAAUCUGGUUCUAUGGGUUCACUAGAUUGUAUCGAUUCUUCUACCUGUCGAACUUCAUAAGUUCAACAUUAAAGGCAUC
This 274-nucleotide long non-coding RNA is filed under the name Elaeis guineensis (African oil palm). RNAcentral describes it as "long non-coding RNA (EGUI_LNC031702)". Lineage: Eukaryota; Viridiplantae; Streptophyta; Magnoliopsida; Arecales; Arecaceae. The record is from RNAcentral.